GGGGCUGCACCGGUUUCGACGUGGGUGCAGACCUGCCGCAGGGCAUGCCGAGGUGCUGUCACCUCGCUAAACCACAGCAGCAAAUUAACUGCGAACGACGAACGUUUCGCUCUCGCCGCCUGAUCGCGGUGAGCCUUGCACCGGUCGGCCGAUAGACCGGGCUGGAGGGGCCGUAAGGCCCUGACGGCAGCAAGGGCGCUUCAAUCGGCUGGUCGCGCCGCGGGCAACCUGUGGCGCGACGAGACCUAAGGUUGCUGGUUCCGCGCGCAGCGUGCCGCUGCGCGGCGCGCGGGACGAGACUCCAUACAGACGGCUACGCAUGUAGAACUGCGCAGGAAAGGCCUGCGGACGGCGGUUCGACUCCGCCCAGCUCCACCA
This 378-nucleotide transfer-messenger RNA is filed under the name Tepidimonas alkaliphilus. Its description in RNAcentral is "Standard tmRNA". It matches the Rfam family "transfer-messenger RNA". From Rfam's summary of the family: Bacterial tmRNA, also known as 10Sa RNA or SsrA, is named for its dual tRNA and mRNA-like properties. Its role is to liberate the mRNA from a stalled ribosome. To accomplish this part of the tmRNA is used as a reading frame that ends in a translation stop signal. The record is from Rfam by way of RNAcentral. Lineage: Bacteria; Pseudomonadati; Pseudomonadota; Betaproteobacteria; Burkholderiales.